CUUGUACUCCCUCCGUCCGAAAAUACUUGUCAUUGAAAUGGAUGUAUCUAGAUGUAUUUUAGUUCUAGACACAUCCAUUUGGAUGACAAGUAAUUUCGGAUGGAGGGAGUAAUUG
Molecule: non-coding RNA, 115 nt
Organism: Triticum aestivum (bread wheat)
Lineage: Eukaryota; Viridiplantae; Streptophyta; Magnoliopsida; Poales; Poaceae
Source: Rfam